Molecule: non-coding RNA, 143 nt
Filed under: Protocruzia adhaerens
Lineage: Eukaryota; Ciliophora; Spirotrichea
Source: RNAcentral
GUCGAUGGUAUUUUGUUUAUUGUGUAUGUGAUUUAUUUAUUAUGGAUGAUCAAGAGAGAAAAAAAAAAAGAGAGAAAUUCAAUAGUUUGCGAAAACUCACUUUCGAUAGAUAGCUAACGUAUUUAGGUAUUCUCUUGGAAACU